Molecule: long non-coding RNA, 1431 nt
Organism: Felis catus (domestic cat)
Lineage: Eukaryota; Metazoa; Chordata; Mammalia; Carnivora; Felidae
Exons: 2
Source: RefSeq, a predicted model, not a curated record
GCUGCACGGGGAGAAAAGGAAACACGUAAGUGGGAAGAUCCUGAAAUCGCCAGGUGGCCAAACCACGGCCAGCUGGGCGGGGCACCAGGGCGACGACCCGAGCAAGGGCCAGGCCCUGAAGGACAUCGAAAAGCCACGGGAAGUUGCACGCUAUUCUGCCAGUACGGGGAAGAACUCAAUGGGCUCGUGUCAGUCGCCUGCACCUGCUGCUACCGAAUCACCACAAACUCAACGGCUUGACGCAUUCAUUAUCUGACAAUCCGGAGACCGAAAUGGGCUUCCCCUGGGCUAACGUCAAGGUGCCGACAGGCCUGGUUUCCUCCGGGAGGCUGCAGGAGAGCAUCCUCUCGCCCUUCCCAGCUUCGAGCCGCCACCCGAGUUCCUGGGCCCCCGGUGCCUCCCCCCAACCGGACGCCUGACUCAGACUCCUCUCCGGCUCUCUUCUUCCUCUCAGAAGUACCCUCGCGAUGACACGGAGCCCAUCCAGGUAACCCAAAUGCCCAGCCGUCGGACUUCAUCCUGUGACCCGACGAUCGGGAUUCUCAAGAGACACCAUUCCUUUUCUAUAGCUGGGCACUAAAGUAGAUACCUCAGUGAAGGAAGGUCAUCUCCAGUGCUCAUCUGGAAAUGCAGGAGUGACUGCCCCCUGGGCCAUCUCAGGACAGAGCUCCCACACCCUGGCAGGGAUGGCAGUGUUAGCUCUGUUUCGGGUAUAGAGCCCUCCAAGAUUCGGGGCACCCAGGUGGUUCAGACGGUUAAGCAUCCAGCUUCGGCUCAGCUUAUGAUCUCACGGUUCGUGAGUUCAAGCCCGCGUCGGGCUCUGUGCCGACAGCGCAGAGCCUGGAGCCUGCUUCGGAUUCUGUGUCUCCCUCUCUCUCUGCCCCUUCCCUGCUCGCUCGCUCUCUCUCUCUCUCUCUCUCUGUCAAAAAUAACUAUUAAAAAAAUUUUUGAAGAAAAUAAAGUUCUCCAAGAUUCUCAGCUGAAGCUGGCCUGCACCACACGAUGAGAAUGGUUUUUGUUUUACCUAUUUACAUCCUAAGUUGCCUCUAAAGGAAAAAACAAGAAUGUUCUGUAUUGUGAUAAAUACCACACUCUCACUCAAGCUCCUCCAAAUAAAUACAAGGUGAAUGUUGUGGAAUAAAUUUGUGUGUCCCCCUGAAUGCCUAGGUCGGAAUCGUAAUCCCCAAGGUGAUGGCGUUAGGAGCUGGGGCCUUUGGGGAGUAAUUGGGUCACGAGAGCAGAGUCCUUCUGAAUGGGGACUGGUGCCCUCCUACAAGAGGCCCCAGAGAGAUGACGUCUGUCUCCACCAUGUGAAGGUGGCCGUCUGCAAGCCGGAAGAGGGUCUCACCAGACACCAGACCAGCUGGCACCUCGUUCUUGGAUUUCCCGGCCUCCAGAGCUGUGAGAAAUAAAUGUGUAUUUCUCUUUAAA